Molecule: long non-coding RNA, 3196 nt
Filed under: Zea mays
Lineage: Eukaryota; Viridiplantae; Streptophyta; Magnoliopsida; Poales; Poaceae
Description: long non-coding RNA (ZMAY_LNC002894)
Source: RNAcentral
GAAUUCUGUGGUCCACGGGAAACGCCUGCGCUGGCCGGGAGUGGCAGUAGGGAGUAGCCCAUGCGUGAUGCCUGGCAAGUUAUGGUCCAUUGAUGGGCGCACGUGGACGUGUCCCCUCGCGCCGCCGCCCGGCCGCCCGGGCCGCCCGCAUGGGACUUUACCAUCACGUGUCCUCGAGCGUCGGCGGUCGGCCGCGCCCGUACGCCGUCGUCGUCGGCUGCGACCUGCGACGGCUUUCUUCGGGCCAAAGCCCGACCGCGGCGUGGAUCGAGGAUUUGAGGUGGUGCGGUGUGGGUGUGGGCGCGCGCGCGCCGGCCGGGCAGCAUCCCAGUUUGUUAACGACUCACACUAUUAGUGUGUAUUGAUUCAACUCACAAUAGCGAUUACAGAGAAUUAUAGUCUAGGAAGGAAGAACAUCGUGAGGAUUAAGGAUAGGAGAAGAAUGUCGAAGCCACUCUACAAGGGUCUAGAAGAAUCUAGAGGGGGAGGUAGAGGAUACAUAGAAGAGAGUAAACUGGAGAAGGAAGAUAACAGUAGCACUCUGAAUAUUCGAUGUCUAUCCUCCUGACCCCGCCCUGCUCUUUUGUAGUCUCUCUUAGCAACCUGGGCUGGCAUUCUCUUAGCAACUUGGGCUGGUAUAGACCGUUUGUGCUCACAUUCCCUGACAUUCUCCCCUUCUUAAAAAUCGGCUUGCCCCCAAGCCGAUACAUGGCAUCAAUUCCACCGAGAUCCCAUUGCAAGUGCAAGCAAUUUAUCCAAAUAAUACCAGUGUGCUAUCCUUUGAUCGGCUGAACAUCGUGAUCACCAGGAUCCAAAACAAAGAUGGAGAAAUUGCCUUGGUCACCGAACUCAUUGGUCUUCUGCAACCCAGGAUCCCAUGGCAUCUCAUCUGUAUUUCUUUGGUGCUAUCCUUUGAUCGGCUGCCCAUGGUCAUCUCUAUUGCUGCACAUACACUUGCUCCCAAGCUGCUGAUACUGUAGAAUAUGAAUGAUUGAUCAGCUUCCUCAAGUGUGCAUAGAACCAUAGCAAACAUGUUGAGCGGUCCACGGCUUGGCCAUAGAAUUGGAGGACUCGUACUAGUCUCCAGCGAAACCACCAAUGACAAGGAUGGUCUACUGUUUAGAUUAAGUGAUUGGAGUUCAACUAUUCUCUGAAUAUUCCCCUCUGGACCAAACCAAGCAUUAAGUGAUUGGAGUUUAUCUCCACCAGCGUAAUAGUAUUCGGGAACAAUUAUGUCUUCAUUGAGCUCUCUUAUCUUACCAACAGGGCUUCGUCUUGACUUGUCAGCUCGGACUACACGAAGCUCACUACCGUAGGCCAUGAGUGUGGACAUGGAGCCGAUUCUAUUGCUGAAGAGGUCAUCAAUGCGUGUUGACAAUUCCUCCAACACGUGAUGUGCACACAAGCUGGCAUGCUCCAGAGACAUCGAGCUCAGCAAGGCAAGGUUUGGAAGGGAAGCACCUGGAAGUGCAUAUGUCAAUGACGAGUGGAGCAGCGUGGAUGUCGAGGUUGGCAUGGUGGUAAGAAUUCUGUCCUCGGUGCUGGUCGAGUGGUAGAUGUCGAACAAGAGCCCGUACUCCUCGGAGUAGGACACCGGGUCUGCUAGAUAAUCCACUCCCCAUGCCGCGAAGGUCUUGGCGUCCUGCUCCUCGUGACCAAGGGACCCGGAAUGGGCCUUGGCGCAGGUCUGGAACCCGACCUUAGAAUAGAUCUCGAGCCUCAGCCCCUUGUCGUAGACGUUGACUGCCAGCUCCUUGAUCUCGUGCGGGAAAGUCUUGGUGUUGGCGCUAGUCACCGGCUUGUCCACGAUGGGCUCCGACGCGACGAUAUUCUCCGGCUCCUCUGGGUCGCCCAACGCCAGAUUGGGCGUCGAUGAGACGUUCAAGCAUUUUGCCGAACACUUGGGUGGCGAGUUGCUGGUGGUGGUCUCCACGACUGCAACUCGAGCCGCUGUUGUUGUGGUCAGGAAUGAGGACGGCGAAGGUGAUGCCACAGGUGCCAUGUGCUUCUCGCUGGUGGCGGCGAAGGGCGCGGCGCCGUCGAGGAUCCCGGCUGCGCACGUGUCGGCGGCAAGCACGCGCGCCGCGAGCGCGACUUCUUGCCUUGCAUCGGCCCCACAGUUGUCGGCGCUGAUGGGCUCCUCGAAGCGCUGCUCGUCGGAGUAGACGCCUCUGUCGAAGAGGCCGCCCGGUUGCCACGCCGUGGCGAGGCCUCCUCUCUCACAGGGCAGGUACCCGCAGUAGUGCGCCCUGGCGUCGGCUCCUGCCAUGGCCUCGUCGCGGUACGGCUCGUAGACGACGGGAGGAAGCGGCGACGGGCUUGCCACGACGCGGUUUGGCUCGUCGACGACGAGAAGAGGAGGCAGUGGACUCACCGCGUCACGGUUCGACUGCAGCAGUCUAGCGAAGCGCCGGUCCAGUCGAGCCUCGGCCGCGUCGAACAUCUUACGGAUCUCUUGGAUAGGGAUGAAAACGGUCGGAAACGGUAUUUAUUCGGUAAUCAGUUUUUUCUUUGAUUGCAAAUAAAUAGGAUAUAGAAUAUACAAUAUAAAUUUGUAUUCUUGUUUUUAACAUUCAGCUUGUUAAGAUUCAUAAAAGGUAAACCUUAAAUUCAUCCUACAUUUUCUUAAAUAAUAGAUAUAAACUUCGGUAUGGAUUCGGAAACAAAUUCGGUAUUUUUUUCAACUUUUUGUGUUGUAGGGAGCAAAUAAUACAUAAAACAACUUAUAUAAUAUUUUAUUCAUAUUUGUACUAAUGUGCUUGAUAACAUAAGAAAAGAUUAACAUCAAAAUUUAUACAUAUCUAUUUUAAAAUAUUAAAUUUGUUCUAACUCUUGGAUGAGGAACUGAGUGGACCGAGAGAUCUCGGUAGAGAAAUCCAUGGUGCUAGGGUUCCGAGAAUCGCUCCUCUGAUACCAAUUGUUAUCGACUCACACUAUUAGUGUGUAUUGAUUUAACUCACAAUAGCGAUUACAGAGGAUUAUAGUCUGGGAAGGAAGAACAUCAUGAGGAUUAAGGAUAAGAGAAGAAUGUCGAAGCCACUCUACAAGGGUCUAGAAGAAUCUAGAGGGGAAGGUAGAGGAUACAUAGAAGAGAGUAAAUUGGAGAAGGAAGAUAACAGUAGCAUUCUGAAUAUUCAAUGCCUAUUCUCCUGACCGCCCUGCUCUUUUGUAGUCUCUCUUAGCAACCUGGGCUGGC